AUGAUGGAACUCGAUAAUACUACACUAUACGAUGUACUUGAGAUUCCAAUGAAUACCCGUCGAAGCGAUGUGGUCAUCAGCAUCAGGGAGCAAGAGUGGGCACAUCUGAGUUCAGAUAUUCAGUCACUGUUUUCCAAUCCAUCUCAAGCUCCACAGGUCCUCUGGAAACUUUUGCCAGAGCAGCCAAACCAGGGCUAUCCGGGCUUCAGCUUCCUCCACACUGUCGGAAACUGGUCUAUAAUAUGCAUGCUUUGCCGGUUCCCUGCAAGCACUUUCGGCCAUGACCUCAAGUUCUGCAGGUAG
Molecule: ribosomal RNA, 303 nt
Filed under: Triticum aestivum (bread wheat)
Lineage: Eukaryota; Viridiplantae; Streptophyta; Magnoliopsida; Poales; Poaceae
Description: partial small subunit ribosomal RNA
Source: RNAcentral